GUGAGGUAAUGGCUUACCAAGGCGACGACGGGUAGCCGGCCUGAGAGGGCGAUCGGCCACACUGGGACUGAGACACGGCCCAGACUCCUACGGGAGGCAGCAGUGGGGAAUAUUGCACAAUGGGCGAAAGCCUGAUGCAGCGACGCCGCGUGAGGGAUGAAGGCCUUCGGGUUGUAAACCUCUUUCAGCAGGGAAGAAGCGGUGGAUUUUUGUCUGUCGUGACGGUACCUGCAGAAGAAGCACCGGCUAACUACGUGCCAGCAGCCGCGGUAAUACGUAGGGUGCGAGCGUUGUCCGGAAUUAUUGGGCGUAAAGAGCUUGUAGGUGGUUUGUCGCGUCUGUUGUGAAAUUUCGGGGCUCAACCCCGAACUUGCAGUGGAUACGGGCAGACUAGAGUGUGGUAGGGGAGACUGGAAUUCCUGGUGUAGCGGUGAAAUGCGCAGAUAUCAGGAGGAACACCGAUGGCGAAGGCAGGUCUCUGGGCCAUUACUGACACUGAGAAGCGAAAGCAUGGGGAGCGAACAGGAUUAGAUACCCUGGUAGUCCAUGCCGUAAACGGUGGGAACUAGGUGUGGGUCUCAUUCCACGAGAUCCGUGCCGCAGCUAACGCAUUAAGUU
This 618-nucleotide ribosomal RNA is filed under the name uncultured Actinomycetes bacterium. RNAcentral's name for it is "bacterial SSU rRNA". It matches the Rfam family "Bacterial small subunit ribosomal RNA", at positions 252 to 866 of the family's 1533-position model. Lineage: Bacteria; Bacillati; Actinomycetota; Actinomycetes. The record is from RNAcentral.